AAGCAUAUAAUUAAGCGGAGGAAAAGAAACUAACAAGGAUUCCCCUAGUAACGGCGAGUGAAGCGGGAAGAGCUCAGACUUUAAAUCUUAGGAAUUGUAGUCUGUAUAAGCCAGGUCAUCUCUAAUAGUUUGUAAAGUACCCUGGAAUGGGUCGCCAUGGAGGGUGAUAGCCCCGUCUAUACUGACUAUGAAAGUGUUCGACCGGUUUUCAAAGAGUCGAGUUGCUUGGGACUGCAGCUCUAAGCGGGUGGUAAAUUCCAUCUAAAGCUAAAUAUUGGUGUGAAACCGAUAGCAAACAAGUACCGUGAGGGAAAGAUGAAAAGAACUUUGAAAAGAGAGUUAAAAAGUACCUGAAAUUGCUGAAAUGGAACCGAUAGGAGGUAGUGUUGUGGUGGACUUUUUGUAUUKCUCGCAUGCGAGUGAUGCCCCGUAGUCCAGCACUGGUUAAGCUUGUUUAGUUGUGUGGGAGAGUAAUCUUACGUCACGCAGCUGAACGACUUUAACAAAAUGCCUCUUAUCAUCCCGUCUUGAAACACGGACCAAGGAGUCUAACAUGUCUGCGAGUGCUCGGAGUUCAUCUCCAAGCGCGGAAUUAAUGUAAAUGUGACCUAGUCACUAAGGUAGGAAGCUCCGGCUGCACUAUCGACCGACCACUGUCCUUCGGGUACGAGGUUUGAGUGUGAGCAUACAUGUUGGGACCCGAAAGAUGGUGAACUAUGCUUGAGUAGGACGAAGCCAGGGGAAACUCUGGUGGAGGUCCGCAGCGAUUCUAACGUGCAAAUUGAUCGUCGAACUUGGGUAUAGGGGCGAAAGACUAAUCGAACCAUCUAGUAGCUGGUUCCUCCCGAAAUUUCCCUCAGGAUAGCUGCAACCGAAUAGUUUUAUCAGGUAAAGCGAAUGAUUAGAGGCCUCAGGGGUGGAACGUCCUUGACCUAUUCUCAAACUUUAAAUGGGUAAGAGCCCGAGGUUGCUUAAUUGAACCUUGCGGUUGAAUAACGGUUGCUAGUGGGCCAAUCUGGGUAAGCUAGAUUGGCGAUGCGGGAUGAACCGAACGUCAAGUUAAAGUGCCAAAGUAUCCGCUAACCUAGAUCCCACAAAAGGUGUUGGUUCAUUAAGACAGCAGGACGGUGGCCAUGGAAGUCGGAAACCGCUAAGGAGUGUGUAACAACUCACCUGCCGAAUGAACUAGCCCUGAAAAUGGAUGGCGCUGAAGCGGAUCACUUAUACUUGACCAACCGUGCAAGUACGAAGCACUGUUGAGUAGGGGGGCGUGGAGCUCGUUGUGCAUUUUGUGGCGUGAGCCGGAAUGAAACGGGUUCUAGUGCAGAUCUUGGUAGCAGUAGCAAAUAUUCAAAUGAGAACUUUGAAGACUGACGUGGAGAAAGGUUCCAUGUGAACAGUAAUUGGACAUGGGUGAGUCGAUCCUAAGAGAUAGGAGAAUUCUGUUUCAAAUGGUCUUUACUUGUAGGGACCAGUCUAUCGAAAGGGAAUCGGGUUAAUAUUCCCGAACCAGAACGUGGAUAAUGAGUGGCAACACAAGCGAAAUCGGGGACGUUUGCGAGAGCCCCAGGAAGAGUUCUCUUUUCUUUUUAACAGCCUGAUAGACCUUGGAAUCGGAUUGCCCGGCGAUAAGGUUUAUUAGCUGGGAAAGCAGCAUACUUUUUGUGCUGUCUGGUGCGCUCUCGACGAUCCGUGAAAACCCGGUAGCGUGACUUAUUCGCACCUCUGGUCGUACUCAUAACCGCCUCAGGUCUCCAAGGUGUGCAGCCUCUAGUCAAUAGAACAAUGUAGAUAAGGGAAGUCGGCAAAAUAGAUCCGUAACCUCGGGAUAAGGAUUGGCUCUGAGGGUUGGGCCUAGGGGUCUCAGGAACAAAGGAUGUGGCGGUUAGGAGGGGACUGCGAAGUAAUUUGUGGACCUCACCCGACUGCCCCCCCGAGGUCUUGAGAACGUUUUCGGACUUUCCCUAGUGCGUGGAACAACCAACUCAGAACUGGAGCGGACAAGGGGAAUCCGACUGUUUAAUUAAAACAAAGCAUUGCGAUGGCUGGAGA
RNAcentral lists this ribosomal RNA (2052 nucleotides) under Mallomonas cratis. RNAcentral describes it as "partial large subunit ribosomal RNA". It matches the Rfam family "Eukaryotic large subunit ribosomal RNA", at positions 36 to 2175 of the family's 3401-position model. Lineage: Eukaryota; Synurophyceae; Synurales; Mallomonadaceae. The record is from RNAcentral.